CAAGUGUUUUGGAUUCUAUUUUCAAAAUACAUGAAAUUAAUUAAUUUAUUUACAUUAUGGCAAUAUAAAAGGGGUUAAUAAUAUUCGAUUUUUAUUAUAGUUAUUUUCGUUUUACUCUAUACAGACAAUUCAGUAGUCUAUACCAAAUAAAUCAAAAUGAAAUUCUUUAACGUUCUUUUUUUCGUAUGUUUCGUAAUAAGCAUGCUUUCGUUUUCAAAUGGAUUGGCCGAUGGUGAUGAUUCCAAACCCUUGGGGCCAUAAUGUAAUUGUAAUAAUGGCAGCAGAGCUGAUUCAGUACCAUUGAAAUCUGCCAACCUUGAAUCAGUUCCACUUUAAGUAUUUUAAAAUAUUAAAAGAAGCAUAUAUAAAAUAAAAUUACACCAAUUUCAGUUAAAAAUAUUAAUUUCUUUUAAAUGUAUUUUCAACAUUGUAAAUUUUAUAAUGAUUUUACUAUCAAUAAAUAAUUUCAUAUAACAGUCUAA
This is a long non-coding RNA of Daktulosphaira vitifoliae (grape phylloxera), 482 nucleotides long. RefSeq lists it as uncharacterized. Lineage: Eukaryota; Metazoa; Arthropoda; Insecta; Hemiptera; Phylloxeridae. The transcript is spliced from 4 exons. The record is from RefSeq and is a predicted model, not a curated record.